This 253-nucleotide ribosomal RNA is filed under the name uncultured bacterium. RNAcentral describes it as "partial 16S ribosomal RNA". It matches the Rfam family "Bacterial small subunit ribosomal RNA", at positions 524 to 776 of the family's 1533-position model. The record is from RNAcentral.
CACGUAGGGCGCAAGCGUUGUCCGGAAUUAUUGGGCGUAAAGAGCUCGUAGGCGGUUUGUCGCGUCUGCUGUGAAAACCCGAGGCUCAACCUCGGGCCUGCAGUGGGUACGGGCAGACUAGAGUGCGGUAGGGGAGAUUGGAAUUCCUGGUGUAGCGGUGGAAUGCGCAGAUAUCAGGAGGAACACCAAUGGCGAAGGCAGAUCUCUGGGCCGUAACUGACGCUGAGGAGCGAAAGCGUGGGGAGCAAACAGG